GAUGAACGCUGGCGGCGUGCUUAACACAUGCAAGUCGAACGAAGCACCUUGAUUCGAUUCUUCGGAUGAAGAUCUUGGUGACUGAGUGGCGGACGGGUGAGUAACGCGUGGGUAACCUGCCUCAUACAGGGGGAUAACAGUUAGAAAUGACUGCUAAUACCGCAUAAGACCACAGCACCGCAUGGUGCAGGGGUAAAAACUCCGGUGGUAUGAGAUGGACCCGCGUCUGAUUAGGUAGUUGGUGGGGUAACGGCCUACCAAGCCGACGAUCAGUAGCCGACCUGAGAGGGUGACCGGCCACAUUGGGACUGAGACACGGCCCAAACUCCUACGGGAAGCAGCAGUGGGGAAUAUUGCACAAUGGGGGAAACCCUGAUGCAGCGACGCCGCGUGAGCGAUGAAGUAUUUCGGUAUGUAAAGCUCUAUCAGCAGGGAAGAAAAUGACGGUACCUGACUAAGAAGCACCGGCUAAAUACGUG
Molecule: ribosomal RNA, 479 nt
Filed under: uncultured bacterium
Lineage: Bacteria
Description: partial 16S ribosomal RNA
Rfam family: Bacterial small subunit ribosomal RNA
Source: RNAcentral